UACCGUUUACGGGGGGGAACGCGAAGAACCUUACCUACUCUUGACAUCCAGAGAACUUAGCAGAGAUGCUUUGGUGCCUUCGGGAACUCUGAGACAGGUGCUGCAUGGCUGUCGUCAGCUCGUGUUGUGAAAUGUUGGGUUAAGUCCCGCAACGAGCGCAACCCUUAUCCUUUGUUGCCAGCGGUUAGGCCGGGAACUCAAAGGAGACUGCCAGUGAUAAACUGGAGGAAGGUGGGGAUGACGUCAAGUCAUCAUGGCCCUUACGAGUAGGGCUACACACGUGCUACAAUGGCGCAUACAAAGAGAAGCGACCUCGCGAGAGCAAGCGGACCUCAUAAAGUGCGUCGUAGUCCGGAUUGGAGUCUGCAACUCGACUCCAUGAAGUCGGAAUCGCUAGUAAUCGUGAUCAGAUGUCGUGUCCG
RNAcentral lists this ribosomal RNA (422 nucleotides) under uncultured bacterium. Its description in RNAcentral is "bacterial SSU rRNA". It matches the Rfam family "Bacterial small subunit ribosomal RNA", at positions 940 to 1361 of the family's 1533-position model. The record is from RNAcentral.